This 149-nucleotide non-coding RNA is filed under the name Ipomoea nil (Japanese morning glory). Its description in RNAcentral is "Eukaryotic small subunit ribosomal RNA". It matches the Rfam family "Eukaryotic small subunit ribosomal RNA", at positions 1 to 148 of the family's 1831-position model. The record is from Rfam by way of RNAcentral. Lineage: Eukaryota; Viridiplantae; Streptophyta; Magnoliopsida; Solanales; Convolvulaceae.
UACCUGGUUGAUCCUGCCAGUAGUCAUAUGCUUGUCUCAAAGAUUAAGCCAUGCAUGUGUAAGUAUGAACUAAUUCAGACUGUGAAACUGCGAAUGGCUCAUUUAAAUCAGUUAUAGUUUGUUUGAUGGUACCUACUACUCGGAUAACC